CGACCAGUAGUCGGGGAGGUGUGUCUCAGAAGGAAACGGAGGAAACGUCAGAAAAAACUUCUAAAAGAACUGCUUCAAGAUUAUUCCAAAAACACAACCCUUCAUGGACUGAGAUAUACUACUGAAAAGGGCCUUCAUAUUAUUGAAAAGAUAUUCUGGCUCGUCACGUUCAUUGUGAGUGUUGCGCUGUCCUUCUACCUGAUAUCAAAGGUCUGGAAUAAGUGGAAUACGUCUCCCGUUAUUGUCAGCUUUUCCGAUAGACAUGUCUUCGUUGAUAAGGUACCGUUCCCAGCGAUAACAAUUUGUCCUGCAAUAAAAUUUAAGAAGUUUAAUUACACGGAGAU
Long non-coding RNA from Ostrinia nubilalis (European corn borer), 344 nucleotides. RefSeq lists it as uncharacterized. The record is from RefSeq and is a predicted model, not a curated record. The transcript has 3 exons. NCBI's taxonomy places the organism in Eukaryota, Metazoa, Arthropoda, Insecta, Lepidoptera, Crambidae.